GAUGAACGCUGGCGGCGUGCUUAACACAUGCAAGUCGAACGGAAAGGCCCAAGCUUGCUUGGGUACUCGAGUGGCGAACGGGUGAGUAACACGUGGGUGAUCUGCCCUGCACUUCGGGAUAAGCCUGGGAAACUGGGUCUAAUACCGGAUAGGACCACAUUUUGGAUGGUGUGGUGGAAAGUUUUUCGGUGUGGGAUGAGCUCGCGGCCUAUCAGCUUGUUGGUGGGGUAAUGGCCUACCAAGGCGUCGACGGGUAGCCGGCCUGAGAGGGUGUACGGCCACAUUGGGACUGAGAUACGGCCCAGACGCCUACGGGAGGCAGCAGUGGGGAAUAUUGCACAAUGGGCGCAAGCCUGAUGCAGCGACGCCGCGUGGGGGAUGACGGCCUUCGGGUUGGAAACUCCUUUCGCUAGGGACGAAGCGUUAUGUGACGGUACCUGGAGAAGAAGCACCGGCUAACUACGUG
This 466-nucleotide ribosomal RNA is filed under the name uncultured bacterium. RNAcentral describes it as "partial 16S ribosomal RNA". It matches the Rfam family "Bacterial small subunit ribosomal RNA", at positions 28 to 507 of the family's 1533-position model. The record is from RNAcentral.